GACGAACGCUGGCGGCGUGCUUAACACAUGCAAGUCGAACGGAAAGGCCCUGCUUUUGUGGGGUGCUCGAGUGGCGAACGGGUGAGUAACACGUGAGUAACCUGCCCUUGACUUUGGGAUAACUUCAGGAAACUGGGGCUAAUACCGGAUAGGAGCUCCUGCUGCAUGGUGGGGGUUGGAAAGUUUCGGCGGUUGGGGAUGGACUCGCGGCUUAUCAGCUUGUUGGUGGGGUAGUGGCUUACCAAGGCUUUGACGGGUAGCCGGCCUGAGAGGGUGACCGGCCACAUUGGGAUUGAGAUACGGCCCAGACUACUACGGGAGGCAGCAGGGGGGAAUAUUGCACAAUGGGCGGAAGCCGGAUGCAGCAACGCCGCGUGCGGGAUGACGGCCUUCGGGUUGUAAACCGCUUUCGCCUGUGACGAAGCGUGAGUGACGGUAAUGGGUAAAGAAGCACCGGCUAACUACGUG
This 468-nucleotide ribosomal RNA is filed under the name uncultured bacterium. RNAcentral describes it as "partial 16S ribosomal RNA". It matches the Rfam family "Bacterial small subunit ribosomal RNA", at positions 28 to 507 of the family's 1533-position model. The record is from RNAcentral.